CGGGGAAUAGCGCAGGUGGUAGCGCACACGGUUUGGGACCGUGAGGUCCCGGGUUCGAGUCCCGGUUCCCCGA
RNAcentral lists this transfer RNA (73 nucleotides) under Pseudomonadota bacterium. RNAcentral's name for it is "tRNA-Pro". It matches the Rfam family "tRNA". Rfam says of the family: Transfer RNA (tRNA) molecules are approximately 80 nucleotides in length. The record is from RNAcentral. RNAcentral also lists the same sequence under 1 other name. Lineage: Bacteria; Pseudomonadati; Pseudomonadota.